This 254-nucleotide ribosomal RNA is filed under the name uncultured bacterium. RNAcentral describes it as "partial 16S ribosomal RNA". It matches the Rfam family "Bacterial small subunit ribosomal RNA", at positions 524 to 776 of the family's 1533-position model. The record is from RNAcentral.
UAUGUAGGGUCCGAGCGUUGUCCGGAUUUAUUGGGCGUAAAGAGCUCGUAGGCGGUUCCGUAAGUCAGAUGUGAAAACUCAGGGCUCAACCCGGAGACGCCAUCUGAUACUGCGGUGACUGGAGUCUGGUAGGGGAACACGGAAUUCCUGGUGUAGCGGUGAAAUGCGCAGAUAUCAGGAGGAACACCGAUGGCGAAGGCAGUGUUCUGGGCCAGUACUGACGCUGAGGAGCGAAAGCGUGGGGAGCAAACAGG